ACUGCUCAGUAACACGUAGUCAACAUGCCCAGGGGACGUGGAUAACCUCGGGAAACUGAGGAUAAACCGCGAUAGGCCAAGGUUUCUGGAAUGGACACUGGCUGAAACCUACAUGGCCCCUGGAUUGGACUGCGGCCGAUCAGGCUGUUGGUGAGGUAAUGGCCCACCAAACCUGUAACCGGUACGGGCUUUGAGAGAAGGAGCCCGGAGAUGGGCACUGAGACAAGGGCCCAGGCCCUAUGGGGCGCAGCAGGCGCGAAAAUUCUGCAAUAGGCGAAAGCUUGACAGAGUUACUCUGAGUGAUGCCCGCUAAGGGCAUCUUUUGGCACCUCUAAAAAUGGUGCAGAAUAAGGGGUGGGCAAGUCUGGUGUCAGCCGCCGCGGUAAUACCAGCACCCCGAGUGGUCGGGACGAUUAUUGGGCCUAAAGCAUCCGUAGCUUGUUCUGCAAGUCCUCCGUUAAAUCCACCUGCUCAACAGAUGGGCUGCGGAGGAUACUACAGGGCUAGGAGGCGGGAGAGGCAAGCGGUACUCAGUGGGUAGGGGUAAAAUCCUCUGAUCCACUGAAGACCACCAGUGGCGAAGGCGGCUUGCCAGAACGCGCUCGACGGUGAGGGAUGAAAGCUGGGGGAGCAAACCGGAUUAGAUACCCGGGUAGUCCCAGCUGUAAACGAUGCAGACUCGGUGAUGGGUCGGCUUUGCGCCAACCCAGUGCCGCAGGGAAGCCGUUAAGUCUGCCGCCUGGGGAGUACGGUCGCAAGACUGAAACUUAAAGGAAUUGGCGGGGGAGCA
RNAcentral lists this ribosomal RNA (790 nucleotides) under uncultured archaeon. Its description in RNAcentral is "bacterial SSU rRNA". It matches the Rfam family "Archaeal small subunit ribosomal RNA", at positions 85 to 878 of the family's 1478-position model. The record is from RNAcentral.